UACGAAGGGGGCUAGCGUUGCUCGGAAUUACUGGGCGUAAAGCGCACGUAGGCGGCUCUUUAAGUCGGGGGUGAAAUCCUGGAGCUCAACUCCAGAACUGCCUUCGAUACUGAAGAGCUCGAGUCCGGGAGAGGUGAGUGGAACUGCGAGUGUAGAGGUGAAAUUCGUAGAUAUUCGCAAGAACACCAGUGGCGAAGGCGGCUCACUGGCCCGGUACUGACGCUGAGGUGCGAAAGCGUGGGAGCA
Molecule: ribosomal RNA, 246 nt
Filed under: uncultured bacterium
Lineage: Bacteria
Description: partial 16S ribosomal RNA
Rfam family: Bacterial small subunit ribosomal RNA
Source: RNAcentral